UACGAAGGGGGCUAGCGUUGCUCGGAAUCACUGGGCGUAAAGGGCGCGUAGGCGGACGUUUAAGUCAGAGGUGAAAGCCCAGGGCUCAACCCUGGAAUUGCCUUUGAUACUGGGCGUCUUGAGACCGGAAGAGGUAAGUGGAACUGCGAGUGUAGAGGUGAAAUUCGUAGAUAUUCGCAAGAACACCAGUGGCGAAGGCGGCUUACUGGUCCGGUUCUGACGCUGAGGCGCGAAAGCGUGGGGAGCAAACAGG
Molecule: ribosomal RNA, 253 nt
Filed under: uncultured bacterium
Lineage: Bacteria
Description: partial 16S ribosomal RNA
Rfam family: Bacterial small subunit ribosomal RNA
Source: RNAcentral